UACGAAGGGGGCUAGCGUUGUUCGGAAUUACUGGGCGUAAAGGGUGUGUAGGCGGUCUAGCAAGUCAGGAGUGAAAUCCCCAGGCUCAACCUGGGAAUUGCUUUUGAUACUGCUAGGCUUGAGUACGGAAGAGGUGAGUGGAAUUCCCAGUGUAGAGGUAAAAUUCGUAGAUAUUGGGAGGAACACCAGUGGCGAAGGCGGCUCACUGGUCCGUAACUGACGCUGAGACACGAAAGCGUGGGGAGCAAACAGG
RNAcentral lists this ribosomal RNA (253 nucleotides) under uncultured bacterium. Its description in RNAcentral is "partial 16S ribosomal RNA". It matches the Rfam family "Bacterial small subunit ribosomal RNA", at positions 524 to 776 of the family's 1533-position model. The record is from RNAcentral.